RNAcentral lists this ribosomal RNA (468 nucleotides) under uncultured bacterium. RNAcentral describes it as "partial 16S ribosomal RNA". It matches the Rfam family "Bacterial small subunit ribosomal RNA", at positions 28 to 507 of the family's 1533-position model. The record is from RNAcentral.
GACGAACGCUGGCGGCGUGCUUAACACAUGCAAGUCGAACGGAAAGGCCCUGCUUUUGUGGGGUGCUCGAGUGGCGAACGGGUGAGUAACACGUGAGUAACCUGCCCUUGACUUUGGGAUAACUUCAGGAAACUGGGGCUAAUACCGGAUAGGAGCUCCUGCUGCAUGGUGGGGGUUGGAAAGUUUCGGCGGUUGGGGAUGGACUCGCGGCUUAUCAGCUUGUUGGUGGGGUAGUGGCUUACCAAGGCUUUGACGGGUAGCCGGCCUGAGAGGGUGACCGGCCACAUUGGGACUGAGAUACGGCCCAGACUCCUACGGGAGGCAGCAGUGGGGAAUAUUGCACAAUGGGCGGACGCCUGUUGCAGCAACGCCGCGUGCGGGAUGACGGCCUUCGGGUUGUAAACCGCUUUCGCCUGUGACGAAGCGUGAGUGACGGUAAUGGAUAAAGAAGCACCGGCUAACUACGUG